GACGAACCGAGCGAACGUUGUUCGGAAUCACUGGGCUUAAAGGGCGCGUAGGCGGGCUGCCGCGUCCGGGGUGAAAUCCCACGGCUCAACCGUGGAACGGCCCCGGGUACGGGCGGCCUCGAGGGGGGUAGGGGCGUGCGGAACUGUGGGUGGGGCGGUGACAUGCGUUGAUAUCCACAGGAACUCCGGUGGCGAAGGCGGCACGCUAGACCCUCUCUGACGCUGAGGCGCGAAAGCCAGGGGGGCGAACGGG
This 253-nucleotide ribosomal RNA is filed under the name uncultured bacterium. Its description in RNAcentral is "partial 16S ribosomal RNA". It matches the Rfam family "Bacterial small subunit ribosomal RNA", at positions 524 to 776 of the family's 1533-position model. The record is from RNAcentral.